Molecule: long non-coding RNA, 306 nt
Filed under: Elaeis guineensis (African oil palm)
Lineage: Eukaryota; Viridiplantae; Streptophyta; Magnoliopsida; Arecales; Arecaceae
Description: long non-coding RNA (EGUI_LNC067594)
Source: RNAcentral
CAUGCACCUCCCACUUUGAUGCCAUCCUUCUCCAUGCUGAAAUAGUUUUUGCAUAAGAUUUUUUUAUGCCAAAGAGUCCUUUAUCUUUUCUAUCUCACAUCCAAAUUUGGGUGGGAUCAAGUUUUAAAUGGUGUGUUCAAAUUUGAUUUGAAAUAGGAUACCAUAUAGAUAAUGUUUGACAUUAUCUCUAAGACCUUGCCACCAACUUAUCUUUUUCUUCUUAUGUGUGUGACAUUUUGAGGAGAUUUAUUGUGAAAAAUCAGUUGGAGAAUUGAUUUAUCAUAAAAAAAUAUGGGAAGGGGAGUC